This 45-nucleotide transfer RNA is filed under the name Lentzea xinjiangensis. RNAcentral describes it as "Lechevalieria xinjiangensis tRNA_Arg_CCT". It matches the Rfam family "tRNA", at positions 28 to 71 of the family's 71-position model. From Rfam's summary of the family: Transfer RNA (tRNA) molecules are approximately 80 nucleotides in length. Their secondary structure includes four short double-helical elements and three loops (D, anti-codon, and T loops). Lineage: Bacteria; Bacillati; Actinomycetota; Actinomycetes; Pseudonocardiales; Pseudonocardiaceae. The record is from RNAcentral.
GGUUUCCUAAACCGUGUGUCGCAGGUUCGAAUCCUGCCUGGGGCA